Molecule: ribosomal RNA, 253 nt
Filed under: uncultured bacterium
Lineage: Bacteria
Description: partial 16S ribosomal RNA
Rfam family: Bacterial small subunit ribosomal RNA
Source: RNAcentral
UACGAAGGGGGCUAGCGUUGCUCGGAUUCACUGGGCGUAAAGGGCGCGUAGGCGGUUUGUAAAGUCAGACGUGAAAUUCCUGGGCUCAACCUGGGGGCUGCGUUUGAUACGGGCGGACUUGAGUGCGGAAGAGGGUCGUGGAAUUCCCAGUGUAGAGGUGAAAUUCGUAGAUAUUGGGAAGAACACCGGUGGCGAAGGCGGCGACCUGGUCCGAUACUGACGCUGAGGCGCGAAAGCGUGGGGAGCAAACAGG